CUUCCCCCAGUGUGAGUUAGGGGUGUCAGCUUGCCAGGAUUCCGGCUUCCUCUGCUGGGAGGACCAGAAAUCAAAUAUGCAUAUGUCAACAUUUACUUCACAAAGGCGAUGGAAGAGUGGGUUUAGAGGUGAGAGAUAAUAGCUUCGUAAGAGGCACAGGAACUAUCGUGCCCUAAAUCACAGUCCUUUUGGGGGUCUCGGUUAUCCCCCAAUCCAGGUUAUCACUGGCGUUCUGAACAAGACUGAAGUCUCAGGCUCAGUGGUUCUGCUGCCUGCCUCACAAGCACAGGGUCCCGAGUUCGAUCCCCAGUACCAACAACAGCAACAAAAAGACUGAAGUCUCAGAAUAGUGAGCUGACCAGGGUGCUGGCUGGAGUCGUGGCUUCGUGUGGUUACAUUAUGUCAGGUGGGCUCUUCAGAACCCAUAACAAGAUGAGGAAUCCAAAAGUGAUGAUGAAUUUUCAGAAAGGCUUACAUUAAACACCGUUUCCCCAGUUUUCUUGCCUUUGGGUUACCUCUCAUACUGUGCUUUGUAUAAAUCUCUCACUCAUACUCUGGUUUCUCUUCAGAUUACAUAAAUCUUUCUCCUUUUAUAAAUCUCUCCCUUGGGGUAAUAAGUGAGGGUCGCACUUAUUAUAUCUGUGGAUCA
Long non-coding RNA from Fukomys damarensis (Damara mole-rat), 649 nucleotides. RefSeq lists it as uncharacterized. The transcript is spliced from 3 exons. The record is from RefSeq and is a predicted model, not a curated record. NCBI's taxonomy places the organism in Eukaryota, Metazoa, Chordata, Mammalia, Rodentia, Bathyergidae.